RNAcentral lists this small RNA (125 nucleotides) under Marmota monax (woodchuck). The record is from RNAcentral. Lineage: Eukaryota; Metazoa; Chordata; Mammalia; Rodentia; Sciuridae.
GCCAGGCACAGUGGUGCAUGCCUGUAAUCCCAGUGGCUUGGGAGGCUGAGGCAGGAGGAUCGCGAGUUCAAAACCAGCCUCUGCAAAAGUGAGGUGCUAAGCAACUCAGUGAAACCCUGUCUCUA